CUCGAUGUCGCGCCGGAUUGGAUUUAGCUUUCGAGGUGGGUUUAUCAUCGGAUUCCUACUCGUAUAGUCUUGUUGGUCGACAUGUAUAGUUAGUAUUACACAUUACUAUUGUUUUAGCUCAGUUUCAUAUUUGUAAAUGUUGUUUUCAUCUAAACUGAAAUUGGAGCCUAUUUUUAUAAAUAAAUUAUACAUGUUGGACCUGAAUUUGACAUAGGAGAAAACCCGCAUUCGGGACCUGGCAUAUGUUAAACUAUCUUAUUUAGCCUAGGGGCCGUUGUAUUAUUUUAUACUGUUGCAGUAUCCUCAUAGUGAGUAUUCCAGGUAGUUUAGUUUUUAGUUACGCUCGUGCUGAGAUGCCGAGUGUAUUUUUAUAGUAGCGUUCAGGCUGUUCCGGACUGUUGGGUGCCGUAAGAGUUGACGGUGGACUCGUAUCGCCUUUUUGGCGUCAGAUUGUGCCGAGGGCACGUUACCUGUUGGUUGUUAGACCAGUUAGAGUCGGUUACUUGACUUAGCCUGUGAGAGCGGUAUGAACUUGACAGAGAUACUUGUAAACUCGUUGGGUCGCGCCCGCGAAUGCCAUUCUGGAAUGAGGUUUCAGUGCGAUGAGUGUCGCAGUUUCUGUUGGACAGUUCUUGAGCCGGCUACCCUCGGGGUGGUGUACGGCGCAACUAGAUACAGGCAGGGUGGGUCCGUUUUGGGCAGUCCUGGUGAGAUAGUGAGUGACAUUUUUUCCUACCUUUAGUGAGGUUGUGACGUGAGUGCAGUCUUAACCAUCCUGUUGGACCUUUUUCUGGGACCGACUAUUCUCGAGGUAUGGUGUAGUCUAAUUAGGUGAGACGGGUGUAUUCACAGUCUUUAGAGAGUUUUCUCCGCCGAUUACUCUUGAG
RNAcentral lists this long non-coding RNA (887 nucleotides) under Ananas comosus (pineapple). RNAcentral's name for it is "long non-coding RNA (ACOM_LNC017028)". The record is from RNAcentral. Lineage: Eukaryota; Viridiplantae; Streptophyta; Magnoliopsida; Poales; Bromeliaceae.